Molecule: ribosomal RNA, 478 nt
Filed under: uncultured bacterium
Lineage: Bacteria
Description: partial 16S ribosomal RNA
Rfam family: Bacterial small subunit ribosomal RNA
Source: RNAcentral
GAUGAACGCUAGCGGCAGGCCUAACACAUGCAAGUCGAGGGAGAAGCCCUUUCGGGGGCAGAAACCGGCGCACGGGUGCGUAACGCGUAUGCAACCUACCUUUAACAGGGGGAUAGCCCGAAGAAACUUGGAUUAAUACUCCAUAAUAUUAUUGGAUGGCAUCCUUUGAUAUUUAAAACUGCGGUGGUGAAAGAUGGGCAUGCGUCCUAUUAGCUAGUUGGAGUGGUAACGGCACCCCAAGGCUACGAUAGGUAGGGGUCCUGAGAGGGAGAUCCCCCACACGGGUACUGAGACAGGGACCAGACUCCUACGGGAGGCAGCAGUGAGGAAUAGUGGUCAAUGGUCGGGAGUCUGACCCAGCCAUGCCGCGUGCAGGAAGAAUGCCUUAUGGGUUGUAAACUGCUUUUAGAUGGGAAGAAUAAGGCGUACGUGUACGUUGAUGACGGUACCAUAUGAAUAAGCAUCGGCUAACUCCGUG